AGAAAAUAUCGUUUGGUCAGUAUAAAAGUAAUUUCUGUCUUUCACAGGUUUUGCUGACGGUGGGAUGCCGUGAUUUUGAACACACCCAAUAACACAAGCUGGUCAUGUUUUCUCGUCCAUACAGAAUGAACUUGGGAAGAAACAGAUUUUCUCUCACUGAGUUUCCAAACAGAGAAGUGCCAGAAGAGGCCGAAAACACUUGGUCUGCAGUUUCUCACACUGAUGUUCUGCAGGAAAACGGCAAAAACAGCGGCUUCAUUAUCAGAUGGUGAGGCGCGUCUGUAACGGAGACUCAUCACUCAUGGUCUGAAAGCGUGUGUGAGACGCCUGUGAGAAACACAAGAGAAGAUGACAGCCAGUCAGACGGACAGACGCUCGUCCAUCAUCAGGACCCCAGAGCGCUGACUCAGCAGCAUCAGCAGAUUCACUGCAGAACGACGGUGGUCAUGUGACGCGUGUCCUGCAGCGAAACGGCCGAGACGCACUGGACUGAGACACACUCCGGUAGGACUGAUGCUGCACACACACACACACAC
This is a long non-coding RNA of Sinocyclocheilus grahami, 536 nucleotides long. RefSeq lists it as uncharacterized. Lineage: Eukaryota; Metazoa; Chordata; Actinopteri; Cypriniformes; Cyprinidae. The transcript is spliced from 3 exons. The record is from RefSeq and is a predicted model, not a curated record.